UAUUUUGCAUAAAGCUGCCAGCGGACUUACGCCGUUUCGCUCUCCGUUUACGUUUUAACAAUAGAAAGUGGGAAGAGCUUCCAUUGUUCACACGUAAACGGAGUGCUAAACGGCGUAAGUCCGCUGACAGCUUAAGUAUUGCGUUGAAUGCAUUAGAAUUAA
This is a long non-coding RNA of Bradysia coprophila, 162 nucleotides long. The record is from RefSeq and is a predicted model, not a curated record. NCBI's taxonomy places the organism in Eukaryota, Metazoa, Arthropoda, Insecta, Diptera, Sciaridae.